RNAcentral lists this ribosomal RNA (121 nucleotides) under Pteropus alecto (black flying fox). Lineage: Eukaryota; Metazoa; Chordata; Mammalia; Chiroptera; Pteropodidae. The record is from RNAcentral.
GUCUAUGGCCAUGCCACCCUGAACGUGCCCAAUCUCGUCUGAUCUUGGAAACUAAGCAGGGGCAGGCCUGGUUAGUAUACUUGGAUGGGAGACCACCUAGGAAGACCAGGUGCUAUAGGCA